GAUAGAAACUCAGCUCAGGCCCAAUUAAGUGAAAAAAGCAAACUCCCAAACUCAGUUACCUAACUGAGAAGUUGAGGGUGCAUUUAGCUCUCACCCUGAUUGUAUUCAGAGCCUUAACUGAGGUCCUUAAGUUUUUCUCCUUUCCUUUUCUUCAUUCCUUGGCUUGCCUUUAUUUUCAGGAAGCCUCUCUUCACCUUUGGGGCAGGACGCCUGUCAGCAAUUCCAGACAUACUCUUCAGGGCAACAUCCCCAGGGAAAAUUACCUUGUUAACUACAGAAAAGAAAUCCUAUGGAGGACUUAAAAUGAUUUUGCUUGGGUCACACUUUCCUUUGUGUGACUGAAGAUGGGGUUAAUUUUAUUGACCAAGUGCAGGACACAUGAUAUACGCCUGUAUGAGAGAAAUGUUGAAAGUGGACUCACCGUUCAAUAUGAGAGAGGUGCCAAAUGAGGGAAAGAACCAGUUAUGGAGGAGAAGCAGUGGAGUCUGGGCAAGUUGCCCAAAGGGACACUUGAGUUAACCUUCAUAUUGAAAUUGAAAAUGUGAAUAAUUUUUUUUUUCUGGAUCCCAA
This 570-nucleotide long non-coding RNA is filed under the name Pan troglodytes (chimpanzee). RNAcentral's name for it is "lncRNA (ENSPTRG00000053578.1)". Lineage: Eukaryota; Metazoa; Chordata; Mammalia; Primates; Hominidae. The record is from RNAcentral.